Lolium perenne is the source of this 319-nucleotide long non-coding RNA. RefSeq lists it as uncharacterized. NCBI's taxonomy places the organism in Eukaryota, Viridiplantae, Streptophyta, Magnoliopsida, Poales, Poaceae. The record is from RefSeq and is a predicted model, not a curated record.
GUUCUCCACUGCAACUCGAUUUGAAUCUGCCCAUUUUUCGAGUCAAUGAGAUGGUACUUUUCGUUGAUCCGCUUGUUGCUAAUCACGUCAGCCAGGCUUAUAUCAAUGUAACCCAGGGUUUCCUGUAGAAACAUAACACAAGCAUCAAGGUAAGAAAACUCAAGACCUACUACCUUUGUUCCAAAAUAUAAGCCUUUUUAGAAAGCUAGUUUAACUUUCUAGAAAGUCAGUUUUUCGGAAGGGAUGUCAUAUGUAUACAUAAAAGAGAUAGAAAGUCAAUUUUUCAUACCCAUAUAGAAAUAGAAAACUGAAGGACUAA